This is a long non-coding RNA of Papaver somniferum (opium poppy), 169 nucleotides long. RefSeq lists it as uncharacterized. Lineage: Eukaryota; Viridiplantae; Streptophyta; Magnoliopsida; Ranunculales; Papaveraceae. The transcript has 3 exons. The record is from RefSeq and is a predicted model, not a curated record.
AACCUAAUGGAAACUCGAUAAAGCUUCACAUCUCUUUAUUUUGUGCAGGGUUUGAUUUUUCAAACAACAUCAGGUUGAUUUCUCAAUUUGGUGUGGUUAUUAGGGUUCAUCAGGUUGAUUUCUCAAUUUGGUGCGGUUAUUAGGGUUUGAUUUUACAAACUUCAUCACG